GGGGGUGCACCGGUUUCGACGAUUGUGAUCAAGGCACUUACUGCAUGUGGGAGUCAAGGUUCCCUAAACUGAGAAAACAAUAACUGCAAUUUUCGAAAGAAAAGAAGAAGAAGUCGAAGAGGCUUCUUUCGCAGAAGCUCUCGCUGCUUAAUUGCGCUUGAGCCGGAACUAGUGGGGUGCUGUUCCUAACUUCAUUACUUCCGUCACAAACAGGGACUUGCUGUGCGUAAUUUUUGGGGUGCGCAUGGGACUUUUACUCAGAAUACGGAGGAGACGCUUGUUAUGCUGCUACCUGCUCCCGACAACCACCUCGCAUAACUAAACAUGUAGAUGUAUUUGGCUUCCACUUUCGGACGGGGGUUCAAUUCCCCCCAUCUCCAG
RNAcentral lists this transfer-messenger RNA (381 nucleotides) under Treponema ruminis. It matches the Rfam family "transfer-messenger RNA". Rfam says of the family: Bacterial tmRNA, also known as 10Sa RNA or SsrA, is named for its dual tRNA and mRNA-like properties. Its role is to liberate the mRNA from a stalled ribosome. The record is from RNAcentral. Lineage: Bacteria; Pseudomonadati; Spirochaetota; Spirochaetia; Treponematales; Treponemataceae.